This 462-nucleotide ribosomal RNA is filed under the name uncultured bacterium. RNAcentral's name for it is "partial 16S ribosomal RNA". It matches the Rfam family "Bacterial small subunit ribosomal RNA", at positions 28 to 507 of the family's 1533-position model. The record is from RNAcentral.
GACGAACGCUGGCGGCGUGCUUAACACAUGCAAGUCGAACGGUGAAGCCCUUCGGGGUGGAUCAGUGGCGAACGGGUGAGUAACACGUGCGCAACCUGCCCCUGGCUCUGGGACAACCACUGGAAACGGUGGCUAAUACCGGAUACGACCCGCCUCGGCAUCGAGUGUGGGGGGAAAGUUUUUCGGCUGGGGAUGGGCUCGCGGCCUACCAGCUUGGUGGUGAGGUGAAGGCUCACCAAGGCGACGACGGGUAGCCGGCCUGAGAGGGCGACCGGCCACACUGGGACUGAGACACGGCCCAUACUCCUACGGGAGGCAGCAGUGGGGAAUAUUGCACAAUGGGCGAAAGCCUGAUGCAGCGACGCCGCGUGAGGGAUGACGGCCGUCGUGUUGUAAACCUCUUUCAGCUCCGAAGAAGCGAAAGUGACGGUAGUAGCAGAAGAAGCACCGGCUAACUACGUG